This is a small nuclear RNA of Phacochoerus africanus (Common warthog), 188 nucleotides long. RefSeq annotates it as U2 spliceosomal RNA. The record is from RefSeq and is a predicted model, not a curated record. The transcript has a single exon. NCBI's taxonomy places the organism in Eukaryota, Metazoa, Chordata, Mammalia, Artiodactyla, Suidae.
AUGUCCUGGCCUUUUGGCUAAUAUCAGGUAGAGUAUCUGUUCUUAUCAGUUUAAUAUCUGAUAUGUCCUCUACACGAGGACAAUAUAUUAAAUGGAUUUUUGGAACAGGGAGUUAGAAUAGGAGCUUGUUCCAUCCACUUCACGCCUUGACCUGGUACUGAAGUACCUCCAGGAACGGUGCACCCCCU